Molecule: ribosomal RNA, 406 nt
Filed under: Clostridiales bacterium
Lineage: Bacteria; Bacillati; Bacillota; Clostridia; Eubacteriales
Description: bacterial LSU rRNA
Rfam family: Bacterial large subunit ribosomal RNA
Source: RNAcentral
AAGAAGUUACUUAAGGGCGAACGGAGGAUGCCUAGGCUUCUAUGGGCGAAGAAGGACGUGGUAAGCUGCGAAAAGCUGCGGUGAUUAGCAAACAUGAGUUGAUCCGCAGAUCUCCUAAUGGGGCAACCCGGCCGGUUGAAGACCGGUCACAUCGAGAGAUGGGCCAACGCAGGGAACUGAAACAUCUAAGUACCUGCAGGAAAAGAAAGAAAUAUCGAUUCUCUGAGUAGUGGCGAGCGAAAGGGGAAUAGCCUAAACCAAUAUUGUUUCGGCAAUAUUGGGGUUGUAGGACCGCGAUAUUGAGUUAUAAAAUGAAGUGGAAUUAACUGGAAAGUUAGAUCGUAGAGGGUGAUAAUCCCGUACAUGCAAGUUUUAUAAUUUAUAGCGGUAUCCUGAGUAGGGCGGG